CUUGUUUUGAAUGGAAAAGUCAACCAAAGAGGGUUACAAGUGGUGUAACCACAGGCGCCAAGAUCGUGGGUGAGUGGUGGAUUUAGCACAAAUCUUGGGGUUUGAUAACCCCAACUCGCUUGAUGACACUUUCUCUUUCCCUGAACUCUGGCAUUCGCAUCUCCUUAUCAUUUUUAUCAGUUUCACAUAACAAACCGCAUCAAGCCACCUCUUUCUUUUUCUGGGUCAUCUUUCUUUUUGGAAUUUGGAGGGCCGUUGUCAUCUUUUGUGCUGCUGAUUCCUGCUUUCUACUUAACAAAUUUCUUGUAUAGUUUUACGAGGAGGAAGCUAGGAAAAGUCCUGUUGUGUCUCUCCAUCUCUAAGUUGUUUCUGGCACAUACUGAACUAGCAUAUAUCUUGUAUCCCAUUUUGCCUCAUAAUUGACAAUGGGAGGUGUGGUGGUAAAGGAUGAUUCACCCAGACAUACGUGGAUACCAGAAACAAAGCUUGAAUCAAAAUUGGCUGAGGCUAUCCGGAGGAGGGAAGCUGAAGGAUGUGCCAUAAAAUCAUUCAACAGCAUAAUCUUAAAAUUUCCAAAAAUUGAUGAGAGCUUAAGAAAAUGUAAAGAUAUCUUUGAGCAGUUUGAUGAGGAUUCCAAUAAUACAAUUGAUCAAGAAGAGCUGAGAAAAUGUUUCCAAAAGCUGGGAGUUUCUUUUACAGAGGAGGAAAUUAAUGAUCUAUUUGAGGCAUGUGAUAUUAAUGGUGAUAUGGGGAUGAAGUUCAACGAGUUCAUUGUACUUCUCUGUCUUGUCUAUCUUCUUAAACAUGAUCCUACUGCUCUUCAUGCUAAAUCAAGGAUGGGAAUGCCAAAUUUGGAGGCCACAUUUGAAACACUAGUUGAUGCAUUUGUGUUCUUGGACAAGAAUAAGGAUGGUUAUGUGAGCAAGAAUGAGAUGGUUCAAGCCAUAAACGAAUCUGGGGAACGUUCUUCUGGAAGAAUAGCAAUGAAAAGAUUUGAUGCUAAAAAGACGCAUUUUCCUAUUUGUGAGAAAUUCCCUUUUUCGUACAUGUGUGUGCUCCAUCACACCUGCAGGCUGAACCCGAUGUAUAUAUUUUUACAGUUGAGCAAUUAAUUUUUAAUGUAUUUUAAUUUGGAAAGCAUCCAUGAUUCCAUUUAACUUAAUUAACAUUUAAAUGUAAUGUGGCUUUCUUCACCGACAUUGCAUUGUUUCUUUGUAACAUAUGCACAAGUAAAACUAGAAAUCUCUUGAAUCCAAUUCAUUAAAUUAAUACUUGUUUCUGUUCAAGUCUCUUAGCUGUAAGAACUGUCUAAAGGAUGUCAUCACGUUUUAUGAUGUUACCAAGUCUUCUUACUUUACUGUUGCAGAAGAGAUGGACUGGGAUAAAAAUGGAAUGGUGAACUUCAAGGAAUUUUUGUUCGCAUUCACACUUUGGGUUGGAAUCAAUGACAGCGAAGACGAGGAUGAAGGUGAAGAGAAGGUGUGAAUCAAGCUCUCUACUCAUGGAUCACAACUGGAUGAUGAAAAUCCAUAGUCAGGCUUCUACGUAAGGUUCUACUUGCUUUUCUGAUAAUGAUGAAGUUGAUAUUCAAUGUGUUGUGUAAUUCUUCCUUCUUUUUUGAAUUUGUGAUGUAUAUAGUUUCAAGAAUAGGACUUCAAUGUAAUUCUAAUAAGACGCCAUCAUGCUUGAUACUUAUGUAUCAACUGCUGUGUACUGUAUAAAUUAUGUUCAGAAGACUGCAUUGGUUCUUCAACAUAGAAAGUAUGCAAUAAUUUAUCAUUUGGC
This 1785-nucleotide unclassified non-coding RNA is filed under the name Hevea brasiliensis (rubber tree). The record is from RNAcentral. Lineage: Eukaryota; Viridiplantae; Streptophyta; Magnoliopsida; Malpighiales; Euphorbiaceae.